This 256-nucleotide ribosomal RNA is filed under the name uncultured bacterium. RNAcentral's name for it is "partial 16S ribosomal RNA". It matches the Rfam family "Bacterial small subunit ribosomal RNA", at positions 524 to 777 of the family's 1533-position model. The record is from RNAcentral.
UACGUAGGGUGCGAGCGUUUAAUCGGAAUUACUGGGCGUAAAGCGUGCGCAGGCGGUGAUGUAAGACAGGUGUGAAAUCCCCGGGCUUAACCUGGGAACUGCAUUUGUGACUGCAUAGCUAGAGUACGGUAGAGGGGGAUGGAAUUCCGCGUGUAGCAGUGAAAUGCGUAGAUAUGCGGAGGAACACCGAUGGCGAAGGCAAUCCCCUGGACCUGUACUGACGCUCAUGCACGAAAGGCGUGGGGAGCAAACGAGG